UAAGGAAUAUUGGUCAAUGGACGGAAGUCUGAACCAGCCAUGCCGCGUGGAGGAUGAAGGUCCUCUGGAUUGUAAACUUCUUUUAUAGGGGGCGAAAAAAGGGAAUUCUUUCUCGUCUGACGGUACCCUAUGAAUAAGCACCGGCUAACUCCGUGCCAGCAGCCGCGGUAAUACGGAGGGUGCAAGCGUUAUCCGGAUUCACUGGGUUUAAAGGGAGCGUAGGCGGGCAUGUAAGUCAGUGGUGAAAGCCCUCAGCUUAACUGAGGAACUGCCAUUGAUACUAUAUGUCUUGAAUGUCGUUGAGGUUUGCGGAAUAGGUCAUGUAGCGGUGAAAUGCUUAGAUAUGACCUAGAACACCUAUUGCGAAGGCAGCAGGCUAAACGAAUAUUGACGCUGAGGCUCGAAAGCGUGGGGAUCAAACAGG
Molecule: ribosomal RNA, 424 nt
Filed under: uncultured bacterium
Lineage: Bacteria
Description: bacterial SSU rRNA
Rfam family: Bacterial small subunit ribosomal RNA
Source: RNAcentral